UAGAGAGCUACGGCUCCCUGUCUGUCAUUACCCCAUUGAUAUUUCAUUCUAUGUUGCUUCCACCCCUUAGAAUUCUAGGUGGUGGGAGGUUUUUUCAUCUUACUUUUCUUGCUUAGGCUGUUGAUUUGUCUGAAUAUGAGGGAAAAUGCUACA
Molecule: unclassified non-coding RNA, 153 nt
Filed under: uncultured Hydnobolites
Lineage: Eukaryota; Fungi; Ascomycota; Pezizomycetes; Pezizales; Pezizaceae
Description: sequence contains ITS1
Source: RNAcentral